GGCGCACCUGCCUUUCCCCCCCAGGGCAUGGCGCGCCGAAGGCCCCAGCUGCCCCCCCGGCUGGGGCCUUCACUU
Molecule: non-coding RNA, 75 nt
Organism: Kytococcus sedentarius DSM 20547
Lineage: Bacteria; Bacillati; Actinomycetota; Actinomycetes; Micrococcales; Kytococcaceae
Source: Rfam